AAAACUUUCAACAACGGAUCUCUUGGUUCUGGCAUCGAUGAAGAACGCAGCGAAAUGCGAUAAGUAAUGUGAAUUGCAGAAUUCAGUGAAUCAUCGAAUCUUUGAACGCACAUUGCGCCCCCUGGUAUUCCGGGGGGCAUGCCUGUCCGAGCGUCAUUA
RNAcentral lists this ribosomal RNA (159 nucleotides) under Lecanora caesiorubella. RNAcentral describes it as "5.8S ribosomal RNA". It matches the Rfam family "5.8S ribosomal RNA". From Rfam's summary of the family: 5.8S ribosomal RNA (5.8S rRNA) is a component of the large subunit of the eukaryotic ribosome. Lineage: Eukaryota; Fungi; Ascomycota; Lecanoromycetes; Lecanorales; Lecanoraceae. The record is from RNAcentral.